Molecule: long non-coding RNA, 437 nt
Filed under: Canis lupus familiaris (dog)
Lineage: Eukaryota; Metazoa; Chordata; Mammalia; Carnivora; Canidae
Description: lncRNA (ENSCAFG00845018899.1)
Source: RNAcentral
UCGGCCCGAGAGAGCUUAGUCGUUCAGGCCUGGGACCGACCCACCACUCCUCCCACCACACCUACCCUGGGACCCUUGCUCAACCUCUCCGGUGCCCUUGUGUCUUUCAGGGGGCCGUGCUGUCCGGGCCCUCGGCCCCGCCUCAACUAAGUUUGGGGGCUGCGCUGUCCAGGCUCUCACCCCCUCCUCAACUAAGUUUGGUGAGUUGAUGCCACGAGGCGAGUCGAAGUCCAGGGGACCAAGGGGCCUUCGGGAGGCAAGCCUGAGGGUGAUUUGGGUCCCUGUGUGCAGGCCCACCUGUGCAGGGACACAUAACAUUGCUGCCUUUGAAGGCCUCCCAUCCCUAAGGUGCAGGGAAGAAUGGGCCCAAAUGUAGCCAGGGUAGCCCAGUGGGACCCCAGUGUGCACAGCUGGGGGGCAACUGCAGGCCACGGGAG